Molecule: transfer RNA, 87 nt
Filed under: Alienimonas californiensis
Lineage: Bacteria; Pseudomonadati; Planctomycetota; Planctomycetia; Planctomycetales; Planctomycetaceae
Description: Planctomycetes bacterium CA12 tRNA-His
Source: RNAcentral
GGCCCGGUGGGCUGCGAACCGGUCGGCUGUGGGCCGGUCGGCUGUGGGCCGGUCGGCUGCGGCGGGUUCGGAUUCGGCGGCGGGUUG